Molecule: transfer RNA, 73 nt
Filed under: Anaerolineaceae bacterium
Lineage: Bacteria; Bacillati; Chloroflexota; Anaerolineae; Anaerolineales; Anaerolineaceae
Description: tRNA-Arg
Rfam family: tRNA
About the family: Transfer RNA (tRNA) molecules are approximately 80 nucleotides in length. Their secondary structure includes four short double-helical elements and three loops (D, anti-codon, and T loops).
Source: RNAcentral
GCCUCCGUAGCUCAGUGGAUAGAGCAACUGUCUUCUAAACAGUGGGUCGGGAGUUCGAUUCUCUCCGGGGGCG